Molecule: small RNA, 1162 nt
Filed under: Histoplasma capsulatum var. duboisii H88
Lineage: Eukaryota; Fungi; Ascomycota; Eurotiomycetes; Onygenales; Ajellomycetaceae
Description: Histoplasma capsulatum H88 hypothetical RNA
Source: RNAcentral
AUAGUAUUAGGCGUGACUUGUUUAUUGUUUGAUCCUUUCUACUCUUGAGUCACUGUUCUUCUUCGGACAAAGGUAUGUGACUAGGUUAAUUUUAUGGGCCAACAAAAAAGUUUACUAGCGGAUUUGCCCCGCGUAGUCUGAGUCUAUUUCUCCCCCUCCGUGCACACGCAUAUAAAUAAAGCCCUGGUUCCAGUUGUUUCUGGGCAUUUUCUUUUCGUUCUCUUCCUCCAGCGACCCCCAAGAAAACCUUUUAUGGAAAUUCGAUCAUCUACUUAAUACUAUACCAAACGCCAACCAGAGCUCUAUCAAUUACCCCGCAUUAAUUUCAUCAUGGGUGAAUGUGGCUGCGCUUGUGGCUCUUCCUGCCAGUGUCCCUCUGGGCAAUGCAGUUGCAAAUAAACACCCCCUUGUAAUGCCCAGCCAGGCAUAUCUUCCUCCUUCGUUCGAUUCCAGAUUCCCUGAUUGAUCGAGGGAGCAGGUUGUUAUUAUUCGACUCUCAAAUGACGUGGGAAGUAGCGUUUUCCUGUUACUAGGCCUCUGUGAACGGUAUACGUCAAUAAUCGUCAUUUAUUUUUCUGCUAUGGAAGGGGUGAUUGGUAUCUGCGGACAAUAUGGCUGGUGUUUUUAUAGGGAGGUUAUUUACCGUAGUUCCGUAAAGAAGAGACUCACUUGAAACUUCUGUUUGUUAUUCUGUAUGCGUUAUAAGUCUGCCCGCCUGCAAAUUUUGUGGUGCUGAGGCCCUCACCUUGCUCACCCACUCUCGCCUCUUUUUAAACAUCAAGGGAACCUUCAGUCACUGUCCACUCGUUAAGGCUGAAGAUGAAAUGAUACCUGGUAUUAGAUUUAAUCCUUGGUCUACUAGCUGUUCAAGCUUCUCCUUAUGUUCUCAACGUUUCUAGGCGUUCAUUUUUCGCUAGUAGACGUUUGAAUCAAGUAUCUAAGGGUGUCAACGAAGGUCUCCUUGAUUUUGACCAACAACUGAUGUUCGGACGGCCGCGCCAUUUUGGAAAGCCCUAUUUGUACUUCCAUGCGAAAGUGUUAUAUCUCGAGAGCAUUGUGUCGUCCCAGGCUGUACUACCCAUGAAACUAAUGUACUUCAUUCCCAUGUUCAUGCAUCUUCUUGUAGGAUGAGGCUUUUAAUAAAAAACGUUGUUUCCCCCAU